GGGGGGUCGCGUGUGUGUGUGUGUGACAGAGCGAGCGUGAGCGUGUGUGUGUAAGGCUGCUGACUGAGUUGAAAGAGAGGAAGUAUGACUGAAAGCUGAACACAGGAAGUGGCUCUGACUCUGAGUAAAGCUAUUUUAGCAGGAGAGGAGAGCUCUCUCUUGACAGCAGCUCUCUGAGGAGAGGAGGGUCUUCAAUCUGCAUCAGAGGACAGACUUCAGUGGGAGAGAGGAGCGAAGAAGAAGAAGCCCUGUGAUGCUCACAUGACAGUGUGACUGAGAGCCCUAGAUGAGAGGUGAGGUUUUGACUUUCACAGGAGAGGACAAACUGAAGAGGGGGGAGAGGGAGAGAGAGAGAAACUGCUACUCAGCUCAGACUGUGUGACUGUGAGAGAGAGCCUAGAUGAGAGGUUUUGUAGCUUUCACACUGCUGCCCCUCUCCCCCCCGUCAGUUCAUGACACAGCAAGUUGAGGAAGUGAAAUACAGUAACAUGGGGGUGGACUAAAUGUGGAACUGUGACUUCUCUAAUGUGUAAAGGGUGCUAGGAAGGGAACCAGAUUAAGGAAGCUACCACCUAUCGCUGUAACUGUGUACCAUUUCUUUGCCUGUUUUUUGGAAGAAUGAUUUUGAGAGCUACCUAAGAGAGUGAAUUUGUUGUCACCUUUUUGGGCACAACUUCCGGGUGAAGCUGUAGAAGAAUAGCUGAAGAGAGAGAGAGAGAAGAUGCCUCCUCCCCCACCACCCCCUGCCCCUCCCCCACCCCCAACCUUCGCUGUGGCAAAUACACAGAAGCCAUCACUCAGCAAGAAUGAAGCGCAAGGAAGAAACGCCUUACUGUCUGAUAUCGGCAAAGGUGCUCGUCUGAAGAAGGCUGUCACCAAUGACAGGAGUCAACCCAUCAUUGACAGUGAGUAAACAUUUCUCUGAUGGUGUGUAUUCUAAAGGCUUUACUCA
RNAcentral lists this long non-coding RNA (952 nucleotides) under Salmo trutta (river trout). RNAcentral describes it as "lncRNA (ENSSTUG00000025267.1)". Lineage: Eukaryota; Metazoa; Chordata; Actinopteri; Salmoniformes; Salmonidae. The record is from RNAcentral.